AAGAACUAACGAGGAUUCCCCUAGUAACUGCGAGUGAAGCGGGAAAAGCUCAAAUUUGAAAUCUGGCGGUUCUUUGACUGUCCGAGUUGUAAUCUAGAGAAGUGUUACCAGUGCUGGACCAUGUACAAGUCUUCUGGAAUGGAGCAUCACAGAGGGUGAGAAUCCCGUCUUUGACAUGGACUGCCAGUGCGACUUGAUGGUGCGCUCUCGAAGAGUCGAGUUGUUUGGGAAUGCAGCUCAAAAUGGGUGGUAAAUGCCAUCUAAAGCUAAAUAUUGGCGAGAGACCGAUAGCGAACAAGUACCGUGAGGGAAAGAUGAAAAGAACUUUGGAAAGAGAGUUAAACAGUACGUGAAAUUGCUGAAAGGGAAACGCUUGAAGUCAGUCGCGUCUGCUAGAAAUCAGCCAUUUGCUCUUGCUUGGUGUACUUUCUGGUCGGACGGGUCAGCAUCAAUUUUGACCGCUGGAUAAAGUCUUUUUUGGGAAUGUGGCAUCCUUUGGAUGUGUUAUAGCCCAUGGUCGCAUACAGCGGUUGGGAUUGAGGAACUCAGCACGCCGCAAGGCUCGGAUCAUUUUUUUGACCACGAAAGUGCUUAGGAUGCUGGCAUAAUGGCUUUAAUCGACCCGUCUUGAAACACGGACCAAGGAGUCUAACAUGCCUGCGAGUGUUUGGGUGGAAAACCCAUGCGCGCAAUGAAAGUGAAAGUUGAGAUCCCUCUUGGGGGAGCAUUGACGCCCGGACCAGACCUUCUGUGACGGAUCCGCGGUAGAGCAUGCAUGUUGGGACCCGAAAGAUGGUGAACUAUGCCUGAAUAGGGUGAAGCCAGAGGAAACUCUGGUGGAGGCUCGUAGCGAUUCUGACGUGCAAAUCGAUCGUCAAAUUUGGGUAUAGGGGCGAAAGACUAAUCGAACCAUCUAGUAGCUGGUUCUGCGAGAUU
This 936-nucleotide ribosomal RNA is filed under the name Inocybe sp. RNAcentral describes it as "partial large subunit ribosomal RNA". It matches the Rfam family "Eukaryotic large subunit ribosomal RNA", at positions 56 to 968 of the family's 3401-position model. Lineage: Eukaryota; Fungi; Basidiomycota; Agaricomycetes; Agaricales; Inocybaceae. The record is from RNAcentral.